ACACGUCUACAUUAGAUACCCCGGUAGUCCCAGCCGUAAACUAUGCGCGUUAGGUGUAUCGGUGACCACGAGUUACCGAGGUGCCGAAGGGAAACCGUGAAACGUGCCGCCUGGGAAGUACGGUCGCAAGGCUGAAACUUAAAGGAAUUGGCGGGGAGCACCACAGCAGGUGGAGCCUGCGGUUUAAUUGGACUCAACGCCGGGAAGCUCACCGGAUAGGACAGCAGAAUGAUUGCCGGGCUGAAGACCCUGCAUGACUUGCUG
Molecule: ribosomal RNA, 264 nt
Filed under: uncultured archaeon
Lineage: Archaea
Description: partial 16S ribosomal RNA
Rfam family: Archaeal small subunit ribosomal RNA
Source: RNAcentral